Molecule: ribosomal RNA, 577 nt
Filed under: uncultured bacterium
Lineage: Bacteria
Description: bacterial SSU rRNA
Rfam family: Bacterial small subunit ribosomal RNA
Source: RNAcentral
AGCACGGGUGCGUAACACGUAUGUAACCUACCUUUAUCAGGGGGAUAGCCUCUCGAAAGAGAGAUGAAGCCCGCAUAACAUCACGAUAUAGCAUUAUAAUGUGAUCAACAUAUUUAUAGGAUAAAGAUGGGCAUGCGGAACAUUAGCUAGUUGGUAAGGUAAUGGCUUACCAAGGCUACGAUGUUUAGGGGAUCUGAGAGGAUGACCCCCCACACUGGUACUGAGGGACACGGACCAGACUCCAUACGGGAGGCAGCAGUAAGGAAUAUUGGUCAAUGGGCGGAAGCCUUGAAACCAGCCAUGCCGCGUGCAGGAAGACGGCCCUACGGGUUGUAAACUGCUUUUGCAGGGGGAAUAAACCCAGAUACGUGUAUCUGGCUGAAUGUACUCUGAGAAUAAGGAUCGGUAACUCCGUGCCAGCAGCCCGCGGUAAUACGGAGGAUCCAAGCGUUAUCCGGAUUUAUGGGGUUUAAAGGGUGCGUAGGCGGCCUAUUAAGUCAGGGGUGAAAGACGGUAGCUUAACUAUCGCAGUGCCUUGAUACUUGAUGGGUUUGAAUAAACUAGAAGGGUAAGGCGG